Molecule: transfer RNA, 72 nt
Filed under: human gut metagenome
Also listed under: 1 other name
Rfam family: tRNA
About the family: Transfer RNA (tRNA) molecules are approximately 80 nucleotides in length.
Source: RNAcentral
GGGGUAUAGCUCAGUUGGCUAGAGCGUCUGCCUUGCACGCAGAAGGUCGUCGGUUCGAGUCCGACUAUCUCC